AUUAAAGAGUUCUAUAACUCCCAAACCCAUGUGAACAUACCUAACGUUGCCUCGGCAGGUCGCACCUACCUUGUAGCACCCUACCCUGUAGGGCCUACCCGGGAGGUGCGGGUAAGCCUGCCGGCGGCCCACCAAACUCUGUUUGAUAUUGAAUUCUGAACCUAUAACUAAAUAAGUUAAAACUUUCAACAACGGAUCUCUUGGUUCUGGCAUCGAUGAAGAACGCAGCGAAAUGCGAUAAGUAAUGUGAAUUGCAGAAUUCAGUGAAUCAUCGAAUCUUUGAACGCAUAUUGCGCCCAUUAGUAUUCUAGUGGGCAGGACCGUUCGAGCGUCAUUUCAACCCUUAAGCCUUCGUUGCUUAGUGUUGGGAGCCUACGGCAACGUAGCUCCUCAAAGUUAGUGGCGGAGUUGGUUCACACUCUAGACGUAGUAAUUUUUUAUCUCGCCUAUUAGUUGGACUAAUCCCCUGCCGUAAAACCCCCAAUUUAUCAAGGUUGACCUCGAAUCGGUUCAGACAAACUCGCUAAAUUGAAGCAUCUUAGUCAGCGAAGGAAAAGAAACCAACAGGGAUUGCCCUAGUAACGGCGAGUGAAGCGGCAACAGCUCAAAUUUGAAAUCUGGCCCUCGGGUCCGAGUUGUAAUUUGUAGAGGAUGCUUUUUGGCGCGGUGCCUUCCGAGUUCCCUGGAACGGGACGCCUUAGAGGGUGAGAGCCCCGUACGGUUGGA
RNAcentral lists this ribosomal RNA (726 nucleotides) under fungal endophyte. RNAcentral describes it as "eukaryotic LSU rRNA". The stretch from base 181 to 334 matches the Rfam family "5.8S ribosomal RNA". Lineage: Eukaryota; Fungi. The record is from RNAcentral.